UAGUAGUAUGGAGGAGGGGGAGAUGGAGAUGGAGGUGGUGGUGACUUGUAAUAGUAAGGUGGUGGUGGAGAAGGAGAGGGUGGUGGAGGAGACUUGUAUUCAUAGUGAGGCUUAGGAGAUGGUGGUGGUGGAGACUUGUAUUCAUAUGGUGGUGGUGGUGAUGGGGAAGGUGGUGGUGGUGACUUGUACUCAUAAUGAGGCUUAGGAGAUGGUGGUGGUGGUGACUUGUAUUCAUAAUGAGGUUUGGGAGAUGGAGGUGGUGGUGACUUGUCUUCAUAAGGUGGUGGUGGAGACGGAGAUGGUGGUGGGGGAGACUUGUAUUCAUAAGGGGGUGGUGGAGAUGGAGAUGGUGGGGGGGGGGACUUGUAUUCAUAAUGAGGCUUGGGAGAUGGAGGCGGUGGGGACUUGUAUUCAUAAGGCGGUGGUGGAGAUGGAGAUGGUGGGGGGGGGGACUUGUAUUCAUAAUGAGGCUUGGGAGAUGGAGGCGGUGGGGACUUGUAUUCAUAAGGCGGUGGUGGAGAUGGAGAUGGUGGGGGGGGGGACUUGUAUUCAUAAUGAGGCUUGGGAGAUGGAGGCGGUGGGGACUUGUAUUCAUAAGGUGGUGGUGGAGAUGGAGAAGGUGGUGGGGGAGACUUGUACUCAUAAUGAGGCUUGGGAGAUGGAGGCGGUGGGGACUUGUAUUCAUAAGGUGGUGGGGGAGAUGGAGAAGGUGGUGGGGGCGACUUGUACUCAUAAUGAGGUUUAGGAGAUGGAGGUGGUGGUGACUUAUAUUCAUAAGGUGGGGGUGGGGAUGGAGAAGGUGGGGGGGGAGACUUGUACUCAUAAUGAGGUUUAGGAGAUGGAGGUGGUGGUGACUUAUACUCAUAAGGUGGUGGAGGAGAAGGAGAUGGUGGUGGUGGUGACUUAUAUUCAUAAGGUGGUGGUGGGGAUGGAGAAGGUGGUGGGGGAGACUUGUACUCAUAAUGAGGUUUAGGAGAUGGAGGUGGUGGUGACUUAUACUCAUAAGGUGGGGGAGGAGAAGGAGAUGGUGGUGGUGGUGACUUAUAUUCAUAAGGUGGUGGUGGGGAUGGAGAUGGAGGUGGAGGAGACUUGUACUCGUAAUGAGGUUUAGGAGAUGGUGGUGGGGGUGACUUGUACUCAUAAGGAGGUGGUGGAGAAGGAGAAGGUGGAGGUGGUGACUUAUAUUCAUAAUGAGGUUUAGGUGAUGGUGGAGGUGGUGAUUUAUACUCAUAAGGAGGUGGUGGAGAAGGAGAAGGUGGAGGUGGAGAAUAGUAAGGAUAAGCAUCUCCUGAUACUGAACUUACACUACUUGAAACAAAAACUACAGCCAACGCUAUGGCCAAGUGAGGCCAAAGACGACCCCACCCGGGGCCGCCGCCGGAACUUCUCAUUUCUU
Molecule: long non-coding RNA, 1396 nt
Filed under: Jatropha curcas
Lineage: Eukaryota; Viridiplantae; Streptophyta; Magnoliopsida; Malpighiales; Euphorbiaceae
Description: long non-coding RNA (JCUR_LNC000682)
Source: RNAcentral